GAGCAUGUCAGACCACUGUCUCCCUCUCGAGCCAUAGGGAGUGAUGGUGUCUAAAAAACAUGCUAAAGUGACACGUUUUGGAGUUCACAGGGCCAUCGAUCUUACAGAGUUGAUCAAUUGGUAGUAUCAGACUCCUACAGAG
Small nucleolar RNA from Amphiprion ocellaris (clown anemonefish), 142 nucleotides. RefSeq annotates it as small nucleolar RNA U109. Lineage: Eukaryota; Metazoa; Chordata; Actinopteri; Pomacentridae. The transcript has a single exon. The record is from RefSeq and is a predicted model, not a curated record.